GGGGGUAAACAGCCGGAAAACCGGCGCUUAAUCCCGCCAUAAGCUUUUAGGAGGUAUGUUUUAGAAAUAAAAGGAGGCGCAAGCUUCCGGUUAUGGAUGGGGCCCGCGUCUGAUUAGCUAGUUGGUAGGGUAGAGGCCUACCCAAGCAACCGAUCAGUAGCCGGCUUGAGAGGGUGGACGCCCACACUGGGACUGAGAACGGCCCAGACUCCUACGGGAGGCAGCAGUGGGGAAUAUUGCGCAAUGGGGGAAACCCUGACGCAGCGACGCCGCGUGAGCGAAGAAGGCCUUCGGGUUGUAAAGCUCUGUUGUAAGGGACGAAUGUCUAGGGUAGUAACUGACCUUAGAAUGACGGUACCUGAGGAGGAAGCCACGGCUAACUACGUGCCAGCAGCCGCGGUAAUACGUAGGUGGCGAGCGUUGUCCGGAUUUACUGGGCGUAAAGGGAGCGUAGGCGGAUUUUUAAGUGAGAUGUGAAAUACUCGGGCUUAACCUGAGUGCUGCAUUUCAAACUGGAAGUCUAGAGUGCAGGAGAGGAGAAGGGAAUUCCUAGUGUAGCGGUGAAAUGCGUAGAGAUUAGGAAGAACACCAGUGGCGAAGGCGCUUCUCUGGACUGUAACUGACGCUGAGGCUCGAAAGCGUGGGGAGCAAACAAGAUCAGAUACCCCGGUAGUCCACGCCGUAAACGAUGAAUACUAGGUGUAGGGGUUGUCAUGACCUCUGUGCCGCCGCUAACGCAUUAAGUAUUCCGCCUGGGGAGUACGGUCGCAAGAUUAAAACUCAAAGGAAUUGACGGGGGCCCGCACAAGCAGCGGAGCAUGUGGUUUAAUUCGAAGCAACGCGAAGAACCUUACCUAGACUUGACAUCUCCUGCAUUACUCUUAAUCGAGGAAGUCCCUUCGGGGACAGGAUGACAGGUGGUGCAUGGUUGUCGUCAGCUCGUGUCGUGAGAUGUUGGGUUAAGUCCCGCAACGAGCGCAACCCUUAUUGUUAGUUGCCAUCAUUAAGUUGGGCACUCUAGCGAGACUGCCCGGGUUAACCGGGAGGAAGGUGGGGAUGACGUCAAAUCAUCAUGCCCCUUAUGUCUAGGGCUACACACGUGCUACAAUGGUCGGUACAAUAAGACGCAAGCCCGCGAGGGGGAGCAAAACUGGAAAACCGAUCUCAGUUCGGAUUGUAGGCUGAAACUCGCCUACAUGAAGCUGGAGUUGCUAGUAAUCGCGAAUCAGCAUGUCGCGGUGAAU
RNAcentral lists this ribosomal RNA (1244 nucleotides) under uncultured bacterium. RNAcentral's name for it is "bacterial SSU rRNA". It matches the Rfam family "Bacterial small subunit ribosomal RNA", at positions 137 to 1367 of the family's 1533-position model. The record is from RNAcentral.